CUGUGAUAUUUCUUUUUAGGUAUGGAGUUAGAAGGUAACCUUGACAUAUUAUAUUAUGGAAGAUUUCAAGUGUAUACAAAAUAGGCAAGAUGGAGUGUGGAUGUCUGUGUGCUCCCCCCAGCUUCAACUGUCAGCCACUCAUGGCCAAUUUGGUUUCAUCUACAUCCUCUCUGACCUCCUCUUUCUCAUAUUAUUAUUAUUAUUAAAGCAAAGAGAUUUCUUCUUCCCCUACAACCUCACACUCCAUUCAAGAACUGUAGGUAAAAGCAUUCUUAAUGUUCUUUUAAAAACUUAGUCAUAAGUACUAGAAAGGAUAGCUUAGUACUUUAGAGUAAAGGACUGUUGUGUGAAUGAGUUAUUCUCUGACAGGAACUAGCAGGUAAAUGAGAUUUUAUUUCUCAAGAUUUUCAUGUGAUGGUGACCAACUACAUUGCAAAAGAAUGGUCACAUUCCAGAGCCGUAACCAGUUCUGGAGGCUUAGUUAUGCAAUCCCCAGCCCUGUCAUCUACCAGGAUGUGACCUUUUGGAAAAGGAAGGGGUCUGCAUGUGGCAGGUCUCGAUUUUUGUGUUCCGUCAUGUGAUCACCUACAGACCUUUUGACUUCUGGGAAUUCUAUAAUAUUGUAAUAAGCCCUGCUUUAAGAUUCCAUCCUAGGGUUGUAGAGUGCAUCUUGCAAGUCAGAAUCUACUUAUAAGCAAAGAAUUUUAAAAGCACAGGAAAUCAGAACCACUUGGGGAAUUAAUAAUUAUUAUUAUUUUUAGUUUUCAUAAUUUUACAAUUCUGGCUCUCAUAUGGUACAAACACCCCCCAAAAAAAAACACUAAAGAUGUUUAACACUAUCGGUUAUUUUUAUUUAUGUAGACUUUUUCUUCCUUCAAGUCUUAUGGAGUUUUUAAAUUUUCAAC
This 905-nucleotide long non-coding RNA is filed under the name Marmota monax (woodchuck). Lineage: Eukaryota; Metazoa; Chordata; Mammalia; Rodentia; Sciuridae. The record is from RNAcentral.